This 69-nucleotide transfer RNA is filed under the name Marmota monax (woodchuck). RNAcentral describes it as "tRNA.Ala". The record is from RNAcentral. Lineage: Eukaryota; Metazoa; Chordata; Mammalia; Rodentia; Sciuridae.
GGGAUUGUGGCUCAGUGGUAGAGAGCUCACCUAGCGUGUGUGAGGCACUGGGUUUGAUUCUCAGCCCCA